CGUAGGGUGCAAGCGUUAAUCGGAAUUACUGGGCGUAAAGCGUGCGCAGGCGGUUUUGUAAGUCUGUCGUGAAAUACCCCGGGCCGUCAACCUCGGGAAGUCGGCGAUGGUAGACUGCAAGGCGUAGAAUCUGGCAGGAGGGGGUAGAAUUCCACGUGUAGCAGUGAAAUGCGUAGAGAUGUGGAGGAACACCGAUGGCGAAGGCAGCCCCCUGGGUCAAGAUUGACGCUCAUGCACGAAAGCGUGGGGAGCAAACAGGAUUAGAUACCCUGGUAGUCCACGCCCUAAACGAUGUCUACUAGUUGUCGGGUCUUAAUUGACUUGGUAACGCAGCUAACGCGUGAAGUAGACCGCCUGGGGAGUACGGUCGCAAGAUUA
This 378-nucleotide ribosomal RNA is filed under the name uncultured organism. RNAcentral's name for it is "bacterial SSU rRNA". It matches the Rfam family "Bacterial small subunit ribosomal RNA", at positions 526 to 896 of the family's 1533-position model. The record is from RNAcentral.